Molecule: long non-coding RNA, 2149 nt
Filed under: Homo sapiens (human)
Lineage: Eukaryota; Metazoa; Chordata; Mammalia; Primates; Hominidae
Description: non-protein coding lnc-C19orf44-7:1
Source: RNAcentral
AGCUGGGAGCCAAACUGCCUCUGGUGCAAGUCAGUACAAGAGGCGGCACCUGCAUCCCCACCCCACCUCCACCCCAAGACCCCAGCUCUGCCCUCCCUCUCAGCUCUGGAAAGCGCAGCCCUGAGGGGUGCUGCUGUGCUUACCCUCAGGCGGGCCCCACCCUGCACUCUCCGCUCAGCCUCAUGGGGCUGGUGCAGGUCCACCAGGCUCUGCCCAGUGAAGGCACCUUCCUCUGAGGGGACCUCAUGGGAGCCUCAAACCCCAGGGGCAAAGCCUCAAGUUCACAGCUUCUCAGAGGAAGAAUGACACUGGGAGGAACAAUGACGGGAAGGUGCAUGUCUCGGCCACAGCCACCAAGCUCACCACUUGAAAAGCACUUCCUGCUGGGGCCCUCCUGCUACUCCCAGGAGCAGCCGGCCACCUGAGUGGUCUGUCAUGUCCAUGUGGCCCUCCCUGUCCUGCAGCCACAGCUCCUGUAAUGCUUGGGCAAGUAUGCAAUUGCAUGCUACAACUCAGCCCGGGGGACGGGAAAUGCCACCUGAGUACAGGCAGCACGCGGAGCCCUGACUGAACCCCAUGAGCAACUCAGAAAGAGGAAGCCCAGGGCUUGGGGCAGAAGUAGGAGCUCCAUCAGUAGGCAUGCCUGACUUCUGCAGCGAGGGAAACUUGCAGAUGAAGCCAGGAGGCAGGCAGCGCUGCUCUCCACAGCCACUGCCCCCACAGCGUCCUUCCCUCCCACUUUCUGUUUUUAGCAGCUCUUCCCAACCAAACUACCAACCUAGACUCUCCUGACCUCUGCUUCAGGUCUGCAGAACUUACGAUUCUUACUGCCAUUUGGCCCUUUGUGAAGGCACAAGAGCUCUCAAAGCUCAUCUGUAAAUUGACUCGUUGCUACGCGGAUAGAACUGGAGCAGUGGGAAGCCAAGCGGAGUCCUGGUGAUAGCACGCUGGGUGGGGGCUUCUCCCUCUCAGCCUCUCUCUUCUAGGAGCAGCUGAUAAGAAUGCCAGCUGCAGAAGACUGGAAAUGACCCAACAUCCUCGGGGGAAACACACACACAGUGCUCGGCCCAUAUAUGUUCCGCCAAAGACAGAGCCCAAAUAAGAACGAGCCAGCUUUUCAGGAAUCAACAGGGAACAACCUUCAAGAGACUGCCAAGCACAGAGAUGCACACAACAGCGCACCCUGUGCCGCCGCCUGGAAGAUCCUAGCUGAGGCUGGGCAGACAAGGACCUGAUGGUUGAGCCGCGCAUAGCUGUAGCAGGGGACCGCACCUGGCCUCCAGCACUGACGCAAGCAAGACCUAUCACUGACUGGAGCCCAGUUCCUCCUCUGAGAGCAUGAGAAAACCACAAGAUGGUGUCUGUAGAGCAUGAAUGGUGUGCUGGAGACCACGCCCCCAGGGGCCAGGCCACGAGGACCCGCACACUGCACUUUCUGCUGGGCUGCUCUGUGGUCUGUAAGAUCCAUUCAGGCAGGGCAGUGCCCAGCACGGUGCCUGGAGGCAGCCUCAGAGGCCCAUUGAGAGAGGAAGCCGAAGGAGAGCAGCCCCCCGCCUGCCUGUCCAAUUGGGCUGCUGUAAGAUCCUGAGAACUAGUGACCUUCUAGAAUUCCCCGAGACAAGUCAUCAAAUGCUCUCUGAGCACCGACUGCACACAGGUGCUCUACCAAACUCUGGGCCCGCUGGAUGCUGGGAGGGGGCGUUAGGAUCCCUGUGUACUGACCCGGAGGAGUAGACAGAGACAGCCAAGGUCAAGAACAGAAGCAACAGAUAAAAUGCCACCACUGAGGCUCUCACCCAGGCUGCCAGGAAACCCCAGGGGAGGACUACACUUGGCUCAGGUCCAGGGCCACCCCUUCCCCCACAGCUCCUGGGCUCUGUGUGGAGCUGGAGGGACAGGAGUGGGCACAGGGGCCUUCUCAUUGGGCAUUCCUGCAACGAGGGCCACGGUGCAGAGAACCAAGGACACUGUCACCCAAGAAAGAGUCUGGUGACUCUGUGGAUCCCAUGGUAACCACCAUUUAAGGAUGGACACUCACGCUAUGAUCCAGCAAUUCCACUCCAAGCAGCACCUACAGAAAUGCACUCAGAGCAGCUGUAUCAGAACAGCCCCAACUGAAAACAGCCCACGCAGCCACCAACAGAACACC